GUUGGGAAUUCAUCGAAGGUUAUCGCUUCAUUGCUUCCUACGGGACAUCUUAUAAGGCACCAAAUCUGGGGCAACUGUAUGGCUUCUACGGAAAUCCGAAUCUGGACCCGGAGAAAAGCAAACAGUGGGAAGGCGCGUUUGAAGGCUUAACCGCUGGGGUGAACUGGCGUAUUUCCGGAUAUCGUAACGAUGUCAGUGACUUGAUCGAUUAUGAUGAUCACACCCUGAAAUAUUACAACGAAGGGAAAGCGCGGAUUAAGGGCGUCGAGGCGACCGCCAAUUUUGAUACCGGACCACUGACGCAUACUGUGAGUUAUGAUUAUGUCGAUGCGCGCAAUGCAAUUACCGACACGCCGUUGUUACGCCGUGCUAAACAGCAGGUGAAAUACCAGCUCGACUGGCAGUUGUAUGACUUCGACUGGGGUAUUACUUAUCAGUAUUUAGGCACUCGCUAUGAUAAGGAUUACUCAUCUUAUCCUUAUCAAACCGUUAAAAUGGGCGGUGUGAGCUUGUGGGAUCUUGCGGUUGCGUAUCCGGUCACCUCUCACCUGACAGUUCGUGGUAAAAUAGCCAACCUGUUCGACAAAGAUUAUGAGACAGUCUAUGGCUACCAAACUGCAGGACGGGAAUACACCUUGUCUGGCAGCUACACCUUCUGAACCACGUCCCACCGUGCUGGUGUUUGACUCCGGCGUCGGUGGGUUGUCGGUCUAUGACGAGAUCCGGCAUCUCUUACCGGAUCUCCAUUACAUUUAUGCUUUCGAUAACGUCGCUUUCCCGUAUGGCGAAAAAAGCGAAGCGUUUAUUGUUGAGCGAGUGGUGGCAAUUGUCACCGCGGUGCAAGAACGUUAUCCCCUUGCGCUGGCUGUGGUCGCUUGCAACACUGCCAGUACCGUUUCACUUCCUGCAUUACGCGAAAAGUUCGACUUCCCGGUUGUUGGUGUCGUGCCGGCGAUUAAACCUGCUGCACGUCUGACGGCAAAUGGCAUUGUCGGAUUACUGGCAACCCGCGGAACAGUUAAACGUUCUUAUACUCAUGAGCUGAUCGCGCGUUUCGCUAAUGAAUGCCAGAUAGAAAUGCUGGGCUCGGCAGAGAUGGUUGAGUUGGCUGAAGCGAAGCUGCAUGGCGAAGAUGUUUCUCUGGAUGCACUAAAACGUAUCCUACGCCCGUGGUUAAGAAUGAAAGAGCCGCCAGAUACCGUUGUAUUGGGUUGCACCCAUUUCCCUCUACUACAAGAAGAACUGUUACAAGUGCUGCCAGAGGGAACCCGGCUGGUGGAUUCUGGCGCAGCGAUUGCUCGCCGAACGGCCUGGUUGUUAGAACAUGAAGCCCCGGAUGCAAAAUCUGCCGAUGCGAAUAUUGCCUUUUGUAUGGCAAUGACGCCAGAAGCUGAACAAUUAUUGCCCGUUUUACAGCGUUACGGCUUCGAAACGCUCGAAAAACUGGCAGUUUUAGGCUGAUUUGGUUGAAUGUUGCGCGGUCGGAAAAUUAUUUUAAAUUUCCUCUUGUCAGGCCGGAAUAACUCCCUAUAAUGCGCCACCACUGACACGGAACAACGGCAAACACGCCGCCGGGUCAGCGGGGUUCUCCUGAGAAUUCCGACAGAGAAAGCAAAAAUAAAUGCUUGACUCUGUAGCGGGAAAGCGUAAUAUACGCCACCUCGCGACAGUGAGCUGAAAGCCGCGUCGCAACUGCUCUUUAACAAUUUAUCAGACA
This 1717-nucleotide ribosomal RNA is filed under the name Escherichia coli ATCC 700728. RNAcentral's name for it is "partial 23S ribosomal RNA". The record is from RNAcentral. Lineage: Bacteria; Pseudomonadati; Pseudomonadota; Gammaproteobacteria; Enterobacterales; Enterobacteriaceae.